GCGUUCAGUACCUGCAAUUGGCCCGAACCCGGGUGACCUACCCAUGAUCAGGCUGAAGGAAAGUAAAAUUUCAGGAGGGCCGACCCGACCUCCGUUGAAAAGGCGGCGGAUGAAUUGUGGGUAGCGGAGAAAUUCAAUCGAACUCGGAGAUAGCUGGUUCUCCCCGAAAUAGCUUUAGGGCUAGCCUCAUAUUAGAUACCCGGAGGUAAAGCACUGAAUGGCCUAGCGCCCGAGAGGGUAGCGAAGCCUAUCAAACUAAGAAUGCCGGAGUAUUGAUGUAUGGGAGUCAGACAGUGUGAGAUAAAUCUCAUUGUCAAAAGGGAAACAGCCCAGAUCUACAGCUAAGGUCCCAAAUUGUAUCUAAGUGGAAAACGAUGUGGAAAUACGCAGACAACCAGGAUGUUGGCUCAGAAGCAGCCACUCAUUUAAAGAGUGCGUAAUAGCUCACUGGUCGAGCGUCUCUGCGCGGAAAAUUUAACGGGGCUAAGAUACAAACCGAAGCUUAGGCUGCACGUAAGUGCGGGGUAGGGGAGCGUUGUGUAAGCGGAGAAACAGUAGCGUAAGCGGCUGUGGAGUUUACAGAAGUGAGAAUGCCGGAAUGAGUAGCGCGAAUGUGGUGAGAAUCCACAUGGCCGGAAACCUCAGGUUUUUGGAGGAAGGUUCGUCCGCUCCAAGUUAGGCGGGAGCUAAGGUCAGGCCGAAAGGCGUAGCCGAUGCACAGACGGUAGAGAUUCCGUCCCCACCGAAAGAUUUAAGCACAGGGACACUUUUUGAAGGUCGGAGCCAGGUGUUGGUUCUGGUAGUGAUCGAGGGAAAUAUAGUACCGAAGUCCGGCUGGAGGAGAGGCGAGAAAAGCUGUGUGUAUAUCUAAGGUGCCCGUACCGCAAACCGACACAGGUAGGUAGGAAGAAGAUUCUAAGGCCAACGGGAGAAGGGUUGUUAAGGAACUCGGCAAGUUGACCCCGUAACUUCGGAAUAAGGGGUGCUCACGAGAGUGAGCCGCAGAGAAUAGGCCCAGGCAACUGUUUACCAAAAACACAGGUUUGUGCUAAAUCGAAAGAUGACGUAUACGAGCUGACGCCUGCCCGGUGCUGGAAGGUUAAAAGGAGAUGUGCAAGCAUUGAAUUGAAGCCCCAGUGAACGGCGGCCGUAACUAUAACGGUCCUAAGGUAGCGAAAUUCCUUGUCAGGUAAGUUCUGACCCGCAUGAAAGGCGUAAUGAUCUGGGCACUGUCUCAACAGCCCGCCCGGCGAAAUUGUAGUACCGGUGAAGAUGCCGGUUACCCGCGACAAGACGGAAAGACCCCAUGGAGCUUUACUGUAGCCUGAUAUUGGGUUUCGGUGUUGCAUGCACAGGAUAGAUGGGACGCUAGGAAAGAAGCGCUUUGGCGUUUCUGGAGCGGACGUUGGGAUACCAUCCUUGCGACAUUGGAAUUCUAACCUGCGCCUCUGAAUCGAGGCGGGGGACAUUGUCAGGUGGGCAGUUUGACUGGGGCGGUCGCCUCCUAAAAAGUAGCGGAGGCGUUCAAAGGUUCGUUCGAUCUGGACGGAAACCAGAUGAUUGAGUGCAAACGCAUAAACGAGCCUGACUGCGAGACUGACGGGUCGAGCAGAGACGAAAGUCGGAGUUAGUGAUCCGGUGGUAUGUGAGUGGAAAUGCCAUCGCUCAACGGAUAAAAGUUACCCUGGGGAUAACAGGCUGAUCUCCCCCAAGAGUCCACAUCGACGGGGAGGUUUGGCACCUCGAUGUCGGCUCAUCGCAUCCUGGGGCUGAAUUCGGUCCCAAGGGUUUGGCUGUUCGCCAAUUAAAGCGGUACGCGAGCUGGGUUCAGAACGUCGUGAGACAGUUCGGUCCCUAUCUGUCGUGGGCGCAGGAUAUUUGAAAGGCGCUGUCCCUAGUACGAGAGGACCGGGAUGGACGAACCUCUGGUGCACCAGUUGUCACGCCAGUGGCACAGCUGGGCAGCUAUGUUCGGAUCGGAUAAACGCUGAAAGCAUCUAAGCGUGAAGCCGGCCUUAAGAUAAGAUAUCCCACUGAGUCAAUCAGGUAAGACCCCUUGA
RNAcentral lists this ribosomal RNA (2060 nucleotides) under human gut metagenome. RNAcentral describes it as "bacterial LSU rRNA". It matches the Rfam family "Bacterial large subunit ribosomal RNA", at positions 692 to 2841 of the family's 2925-position model. The record is from RNAcentral.